GAGGGUAUAGCUCAAACGGUAGAGCGCAUGCUUAGCAUGCACGAGGUCUUGGGUUCAAUUCCCAGUAUCUCCU
This 73-nucleotide transfer RNA is filed under the name Camelus bactrianus (Bactrian camel). It matches the Rfam family "tRNA". From Rfam's summary of the family: Transfer RNA (tRNA) molecules are approximately 80 nucleotides in length. Their secondary structure includes four short double-helical elements and three loops (D, anti-codon, and T loops). The record is from Rfam by way of RNAcentral. Lineage: Eukaryota; Metazoa; Chordata; Mammalia; Artiodactyla; Camelidae. RNAcentral also lists the same sequence under 2 other names.